AAACUUUCAACAACGGAUCUCUUGGUUCUCGCAUCGAUGAAGAACGCAGCGAAAUGCGAUACGUAAUGUGAAUCANCGAAUUUUUGAACGCACAUUGCCCCCUUGGUAUUCCAGGGGGCAUGCCUGUUUGAGCGUCAUUU
Molecule: ribosomal RNA, 140 nt
Filed under: Saccharomyces cerevisiae (brewer's yeast)
Lineage: Eukaryota; Fungi; Ascomycota; Saccharomycetes; Saccharomycetales; Saccharomycetaceae
Description: 5.8S ribosomal RNA
Rfam family: 5.8S ribosomal RNA
About the family: 5.8S ribosomal RNA (5.8S rRNA) is a component of the large subunit of the eukaryotic ribosome. It is transcribed by RNA polymerase I as part of the 45S precursor that also contains 18S and 28S rRNA.
Source: RNAcentral